AGCUAUUGGGAAGGCAUUGCCUGCCCAGUGACAACUGUUUAACGGCCGCGGUAUCCUGACCGUGCAAAGGUAGCAUAAUCAUUUGUUCUCUAAAUAAGGACUUGUAUGAAUGGCCGCACGAGGGUUUUACUGUCUCUUACUUCCAAUCAGUGAAAUUGACCUUCCCGUGAAGAGGCGGGAAUGCACAAAUAAGACGAGAAGACCCUAUGGAGCUUUAACUAACCAACCCAAAGAGAAUAGAUUUAACCAUUAAGGAAUAACAACAAUCUCCAUGAGUUGGUAGUUUCGGUUGGGGUGACCUCGGAGAAUAAAAAAUCCUCCGAGCGAUUUUAAAGACUAGACCCACAAGUCAAAUCACUCUAUCGCUCAUUGAUCCAAAAACUUGAUCAACGGAACAAGUUACCCUAGGGAUAACAGCGCAAUCCUAUUCAAGAGUCCAUAUCGACAAUAGGGUUUACGACCUCGAUGUUGGAUCAGGACAUCCUGAUGGUGCAACCGCUAUCAAAGGUUCGUUUGUUCAACGAUUAAAGUCCUACGUGAUCUGAGUUCAGACCGGA
This 557-nucleotide ribosomal RNA is filed under the name Phascolosoma esculenta. RNAcentral describes it as "partial 16S ribosomal RNA". It matches the Rfam family "Bacterial large subunit ribosomal RNA", at positions 1839 to 2620 of the family's 2925-position model. Lineage: Eukaryota; Metazoa; Annelida; Sipuncula; Phascolosomatiformes; Phascolosomatidae. The record is from RNAcentral.